GAUGAACGCUGGCGGCGUGCCUAAUACAUGCAAGUCGAGCGAACGGACGAGAAGCUUGCUUCUCUGAUGUUAGCGGCGGACGGGUGAGUAACACGUGGAUAACCUACCUAUAAGACUGGGAUAACUUCGGGAAACCGGAGCUAAUACCGGAUAAUAUUUUGAACCGCAUGGUUCAAAAGUGAAAGACGGUCUUGCUGUCACUUAUAGAUGGAUCCGCGCUGCAUUAGCUAGUUGGUAAGGUAACGGCUUACCAAGGCAACGAUGCAUAGCCGACCUGAGAGGGUGAUCGGCCACACUGGAACUGAGACACGGUCCAGACUCCUACGGGAGGCAGCAGUAGGGAAUCUUCCGCAAUGGGCGAAAGCCUGACGGAGCAACGCCGCGGGAGUGAUGAAAGUCUUCCGAUCCUAAAACUCUGUUAUUAGGGAAGAACAUAUGUGUAAGUAACUGUGCACAUCUUGACGGUACCUAAUCAGAAAGCCACGGCUAACUACGUGCCAGCAGCCGCGGUAAUACGUAAGUGGCAAGCGUUAUCCCGAAUUAUUGGGCGUAAAGCGCGCGUAGGCGGUUUUUUAGUCUGAUGUGAAAGCCCACGGCUCAACCGUGGAGGGUCAUUGGAAACUGGAAAACUUGAGUGCAGAAGAGGAAAGUGGAAUUCCAUGUGUAGCGGUGAAAUGCGCAGAGAUAUGGAGGAACACCAGUGGCGAAGGCGACUUUCUGGUCUGUAACUGACGCUGAUGUGCGAAAGCGUGGGGAUCAAACAGGAUUAGAUACCCUGGUAGUCCACGCCGUAAACGAUGAGUGCUAAGUGUUAGGGGGUUUCCGCCCCUUAGUGCUGCAGCUAACGCAUUAAGCACUCCGCCUGGGGAGUACAACCGCAAGGUUGAAACUCAAAGGAAUUGACGGGGACCCGCACAAGCGGUGGAGCAUGUGGUUUAAUUCGAAGCAACGCGAAGAACCUUACCAAAUCUUGACAUCCUUUGACAACUCUAGAGAUAGAGCUUUCCCCUUCGGGGGACAAAGUGACAGGUGGUGCAUGGUUGUCGUCAGCUCGUGUCGUGAGAUGUUGGGUUAAGUCCCGCAACGAGCGCAACCCUUAAGCUUAGUUGCCAUCAUUAAGUUGGGCACUCUAAGUUGACUGCCGGUGACAAACCGGAGGAAGGUGGGGAUGACGUCAAAUCAUCAUGCCCCUUAUGAUUUGGGCUACACACGUGCUACAAUGGACAAUACAAAGGGCAGCGAAACCGCGAGGUCAAGCAAAUCCCAUAAAGUUGUUCUCAGUUCGGAUUGUAGUCUGCAACUCGACUACAUGAAGCUGGAAUCGCUAGUAAUCGUAGAUCAGCAUGCUACGGUGAAUACGUUCCCGGGUCU
Molecule: ribosomal RNA, 1371 nt
Filed under: uncultured bacterium
Lineage: Bacteria
Description: bacterial SSU rRNA
Rfam family: Bacterial small subunit ribosomal RNA
Source: RNAcentral